AGACCCGAAACCCGGUGAUCUAGCCAUGGGCAGGUUGAAGGUUGGGUAACACUAACUGGAGGACCGAACCGACUAAUGUUGAAAAAUUAGCGGAUGACCUGUGGCUGGGGGUGAAAGGCCAAUCAAACCGGGAGAUAGCUGGUUCUCCCCGAAAGCUAUUUAGGUAGCGCCUCGUGAAUUCAUCUCCGGGGGUAGAGCACUGUUUCGGCUAGGGGGCCAUCCCGGCUUACCAACCCGAUGCAAACUGCGAAUACCGGAGAAUGUUAUCACGGGAGACACACGGCGGGUGCUAACGUCCGUCGUGAAGAGGGAAACAACCCAGACCGCCAGCUAAGGUCCCAAAGUCAUGGUUAAGUGGGAAACGAUGUGGGAAGGCCCAGACAGCCAGGAUGUUGGCUUAGAAGCAGCCAUCAUUUAAAGAAAGCGUAAUAGCUCACUGGUCGAGUCGGCCUGC
This 454-nucleotide ribosomal RNA is filed under the name Salmonella enterica subsp. enterica serovar Typhimurium. Its description in RNAcentral is "partial 23S ribosomal RNA". It matches the Rfam family "Bacterial large subunit ribosomal RNA", at positions 711 to 1162 of the family's 2925-position model. RNAcentral also lists the same sequence under 1 other name. Lineage: Bacteria; Pseudomonadati; Pseudomonadota; Gammaproteobacteria; Enterobacterales; Enterobacteriaceae. The record is from RNAcentral.